RNAcentral lists this ribosomal RNA (427 nucleotides) under uncultured bacterium. Its description in RNAcentral is "bacterial SSU rRNA". It matches the Rfam family "Bacterial small subunit ribosomal RNA", at positions 355 to 774 of the family's 1533-position model. The record is from RNAcentral.
UGGGGAAUCUUCCGCAAUGGGUGAGAGCCUGACGGAGCAACGCCGCGUGAAUGAAGAAGGCCUUCGGGUUGUAAAGUUCUGUCCUUGGGGAAGAACGGUAGGUACAGGCAAUGGUAUCUACGUGACGGUACCUGAGGAGGAAGCCCUGGCUAACUACGUGCCAGCAGCCGCGGUAAUACGUAGAGGGCAAGCGUUGUCCGGAAUCAUUGGGCGUAAAGGGUACGCAGGCGGAUAUGCAAGUCAAAUGUGAAAGGUACCGGCCCAACCGGUAGAGUGCAUUUGAAACUGUAUAUCUUGAGUACAGCAGAGGAGAACGGAAUUCCUGGAGUAGCGGUGGAAUGCGUAGAUAUCAGGAAGAACACCAGUGGCGUAAGCGGUUCUCUGGGCUGUAACUGACGCUGAGGUACGAAAGCUGGGUUAGCGAACG